GACGAACGCUGGCGGCGUGCUUAACACAUGCAAGUCGAACGGAAAGGCCCUGCUUUUGUGGGGUGCUCGAGUGGCGAACGGGUGAGUAACACGUGAGUAACCUGCCCUUCACUUUGGGAUAACUUCAGGAAACUGGGGCUAAUACCGGAUAGGAUCUCCUGCUGCAUGGUGGGGGUUGGAAAGUUUCGGCGGUUGGGGAUGGACUCGCGGCUUAUCAGCUUGUUGGUGGGGUAGUGGCUUACCAAGGCUUUGACGGGUAGCCGGCCUGAGAGGGUGACCGGCCACAUUGGGACUGAGAUACGGCCCAGACUCCAACGGGAGGCAGCAGUGGGGAAUAUUGCACAAUGGGCGGAAGCCUGAUGCAGCAACGCAGCGUGCGGGAUGACGGCCUUCGGGUUGUAAACCGCUUUCGCCUGUGACGAAGCGUGAGUGACGGUAAUGGGUAAAGAAGCACCGGCUAACUACGUG
RNAcentral lists this ribosomal RNA (468 nucleotides) under uncultured bacterium. RNAcentral describes it as "partial 16S ribosomal RNA". It matches the Rfam family "Bacterial small subunit ribosomal RNA", at positions 28 to 507 of the family's 1533-position model. The record is from RNAcentral.